Molecule: ribosomal RNA, 344 nt
Filed under: uncultured bacterium
Lineage: Bacteria
Description: bacterial SSU rRNA
Rfam family: Bacterial small subunit ribosomal RNA
Source: RNAcentral
AGAGUUUGAUCAUGGCUCAGGAUGAACGCUAGCUACAGGCUUAACACAUGCAAGUCGAGGGGCAGCAUGUUGGUUGCUUGCAACCAAUGAUGGCGACCGGCGCACGGGUGAGUAACGCGUAUCCAACCUACCCUUGUCCAUCGGAUAACCCGUCGAAAGGCGGCCUAACACGAUAUGCGGUUCACAGCAGGCAUCUAAGGUGAACGAAAUGUGAAGGAGAAGGAUGGGGAUGCGUCUGAUUAGCUUGUUGGCGGGGUAACGCCACAAGGCUACGAUCAGUAGGGUUCUGAGAGGAAGGUCCCCCANAUUGGAACUGAGACACGGUCCAAACUCCGUAGGGAGCA